GGCCUACGGGGGCAGCAGUCGGGAAUAUUGCGCAAUGGAGGAAACUCUGACGCAGUGACGCCGCGUGCAGGAAGAAGGUUUUCGGAUUGUAAACUGCUUUUGUCAGGGACGAAGCAAGUGACGGUACCUGACGAAUAAGCCACGGCUAACUACGUGCCAGCAGCCGCGGUAAUACGUAGGUGGCAAGCGUUAUCCGGAUUUACUGGGUGUAAAGGGCGUGUAGGCGGGACUGCAAGUCAGAUGUGAAAACCACGGGCUCAACCUGUGGCCUGCAUUUGAAACUGUAGUUCUUGAGCACUGGAGAG
Molecule: ribosomal RNA, 305 nt
Filed under: uncultured bacterium
Lineage: Bacteria
Description: bacterial SSU rRNA
Rfam family: Bacterial small subunit ribosomal RNA
Source: RNAcentral